UCCGGUUUGUCACCGGCAGUCCCAUUAGAGUGCCCAACUGAAUGUGGCAACUAAUGGCAAGGGUUGCGCUCGUUGCGGGACUUAACCCAACAUCCCACGACACGAGCUGACGACAGCCAUGCAGCACCUGUGUUACGAUUCCCUUUCGGGCACCCCCGCCUCUCAGCAGGGUUCCGGACAUGUCAAGGGUAGGUAAGGUUGUUCGCGUUGCAUCGAAUUAAUCCACAUCAUCCACCGCUUGUGCGGGUCCCCGUCAAUUCCUUUGAGUUUUAACCUUGCGGCCGUACUCCCCAGGCGGUCGACUUCACGCGUUAGCUUCGGCACUGAGGAAUCACUUCCCCAACACCCAGUCGACAUCGUUUAGGGCGUGGACUAC
This 376-nucleotide unclassified non-coding RNA is filed under the name uncultured Gammaproteobacteria bacterium. Its description in RNAcentral is "contains 16S-23S intergenic spacer region". The record is from RNAcentral. Lineage: Bacteria; Pseudomonadati; Pseudomonadota; Gammaproteobacteria.